UGAUAAAGGUGUGUUUUCGUAACGGGCAGACGACAGAAUUCACUUUAAAUUAACAUUUGUUCUUAUGGGAGUGUUCACCCAUCGGCAGAAAGUUGAGCAGAAAAAAAGAACUGUUCAAAUCAGAGACGAACUGUCGUUCAUUUCGCCGUUCAUUUUAAGGCCUAUCAUCACAAUGCUAUUUUGCUUCGACCGAUCACUGCUCGUGAACCGUUUUGUCGAAAAAGAACUAAUAUCGGGAUUCUGUCGACGGGAACAGACAGCUUCGAAAUAUUUUUCUGCUCUGAUCACGUGACACCGGCAGAAGAAUCUUUCUCUGGAUCAGACGCCAUGUUCUUUUUAACCUCAAUCUUUAAUUUUUGGAUGGUUUGUUUUGAUAUAUUAUUUUGCUGUUGGUUGUCAGAUUUCGGAUUGCUACUAUUAUACUGUGAAAUUAAUUUGUAGUAGAAAAUUGAGGUAUAAAAUAUUUCCAUUGGUUUCUUUAUUUUUAUAAUUUUUACAAGAGAAAUUGAAAAUGGAUUUACAACCGAAAGGCGUAAAAUUCGUUAUAAAUUGAUGCGACAGUUCAAAGUUUUGUACUUUCCAGACCUGCACAACGAAUUACCUAUUUGAAAAAUAGAAAAUGGUUAAAAAUUGCUGAUGUGAUAGAGGAUUCAAGUACCAUUUACAAACAAAAUAUUGAAGAGAAUGUGCUCGAAAGGAAAUUCAUAUGAAUUCUUUUUUGUUGACCAGGAUGGAAAAAGUCAUUGGAACUCAUAGUUAGAAUAAGAAUAAGUUAGGCCUAGAGGUGUACCAGCCAGAAGUAGAGGAUGACAAAGAAAAUCAACUAUGAAUAAUAUUCCAUGGAUAUGAUUCAUGUAUGAUGUAGUAACCUACAGAAGAAAGAGAUGGACUAAUCUAAGAAUAUAUUCAUUUUUUCA
This 917-nucleotide long non-coding RNA is filed under the name Nilaparvata lugens (brown planthopper). Its description in RNAcentral is "uncharacterized LOC120353375". Lineage: Eukaryota; Metazoa; Arthropoda; Insecta; Hemiptera; Delphacidae. The record is from RNAcentral.